GUGGCACGAUCGACGGGUGCUUGUCGGGGCACCUCGAUACUCAGGGACAAUCGGCUUGAGGUGACCACAGCUCUUUUUGUGCACAUCCUGCAAAUCCAAGGCACCUGUUACUGAGGGACCCACCUGUUAACCUCUGUCUGUACCUCUGCAGGGAGUGCUCCUGGCUGGCUAAAGGAGAGGUUAUUCUGACAGAAGUGGGAAAGGAAAUAAAGAACUAUGAACCACCAUUCUUUACGCAGAAUCUGGCCUAACCUCCAAGGAAUAAUCUUCAAAAGAACUUGCUUCUAGAUGUUGGGAUAAAGGUGAGGAAUUGAUUAUCAAUCCUGUGCUGAAACAGAGCAAGAGGCAAAAAUCAG
Molecule: long non-coding RNA, 356 nt
Organism: Cyanistes caeruleus (blue tit)
Lineage: Eukaryota; Metazoa; Chordata; Aves; Passeriformes; Paridae
Source: RefSeq, a predicted model, not a curated record